GGAGGUCACCUAAUGGGUUCGGGAGGGGUUACGGGUUCGGGUUUGGGUCUGGUACUGGUUCAGGUUCUGGUUCUGGUUCUGGUUAUGGGAGUGGUGGUGCUCAUGGUGGUGGAUAUGGUGCUGGAAGUGGAACCGGUGGUGGUGGUGGUGGUGGUGGUGGUGGUUCUGGUGGUGGAAGUGGUGGUGGUGGUUCGACUGAAAAUGGGAAUGGUAACCGUUGGCCAUCAAGGAACCCGAACCCUAACCACCAUGGUUAAAAACAAGGAGUUUUUGAGGUUUGCUUUGUCAGGUGACAAUGGUUAGUGUAAUAUAAAAUACAUGGUGUGUAAUAUAUAUUUUAUAUUUUUAAUCAAUCUAUGUUAGUUUUAUAAGUUAAAAAGAAAAAACCUAUGUACCGUCUAUGUGCUUGAUUAUAUCAUUUGAGCUUUAAGGCCCUGUUUAUUUCCAUUUCAUGC
Molecule: long non-coding RNA, 455 nt
Filed under: Gossypium barbadense (sea-island cotton)
Lineage: Eukaryota; Viridiplantae; Streptophyta; Magnoliopsida; Malvales; Malvaceae
Description: long non-coding RNA (GBAR_LNC005916)
Source: RNAcentral